Molecule: long non-coding RNA, 211 nt
Filed under: Mytilus galloprovincialis (Mediterranean mussel)
Lineage: Eukaryota; Metazoa; Mollusca; Bivalvia; Mytilida; Mytilidae
Source: RNAcentral
AUCAGAAAUAACACGAUGUUUUGAUUUAUAUCAAUUAUAUAAAUCAAAACAUAAAGGUUAUUUCUGAUUAAUUUUUCGAAUUAUUUUAUAAUUAAAGGCGUUAAGAAACCUUGGUGACCCCACAGUUUAAAUGUCUAUCGUAGGUACGUCGUGAACAGUGGUCGUUACAGACAAACGUUCACGUAAAUUGUCCCAGUCAUUGGAUGAAUUU